AAUGUAAGCCGAAUCGAUUUUUUGGCCGUGUCCGCGAAUUUUCAAAUUUUGUUUGAUUUUUACUGACAUUCACUCUUAUUAUUAUGUAGCACGUCUUUACAUAAUUUUCAGCCCACCCUUUUUCAAGACGGAGUUCGAAGUGAGAUCAAACGUCUCAGGACUUUCAGAAACUCCUUUUCGCUGGCGACACUGAACUAACAUUUUCAAAACGCUCUACUUUUGACAGCGUUUUCAAAACAUCCCGAUUUCAUAUAUCGAUGUCGUGUAAACGCAAGGCGUAACUGAUUACCAAAGAACACGGUUUCAAAUGAAAACGCGACCGUAUUAACGGGACCAUUUACUAGUCACCGUCAAGAGAUAACGAUUUGGUUUUAGAGUGACGUCAUUAAACCGGUGAAAUUAGGCUAAUACACAUUAGUAGACCCUAAUUCCAUUGUUUUCUUUUGUGCCUAUUUGACUAUUACAUGUUGACUAGUAUUUAUUUACAGUGGAACCCCGCUCUAAGGACACCCACUUAAUAAGGACACCUCGUUAUUAAGGACACGUUACAGUACAGUAAAAAUAAAUGGUUCAAAAUGUGUUUUCAGCUGUUUUUCUGACACCUCGGUUAAUAGGGACACCCCGUUAAUAAGGACAGUUUUGUCCGUCCCAACGGUGUCCUUAUUAACGGGGUUCCACUGUAUUUAUUUCACGGGUUUAAUGCCUUCACUCUAUCUUCUUUUGUUAGGUUAAACCUGCAAAGGAUUGUUCCUAUUGGAGACAUUCACCUAACAGUUACAGGUGAAUUCUCAUAUCAGGCAAAGCCAAUCGACAGCGAUUACGCAUGCGCAUAUGGAAAAAUUUCGCCUCUGAACGAUCCAGCAUUCCUUGCAAAUGGACCUCAAGAACUCAUAUUAAGCUCCACGUGUUUGUCCAGAAGUUCUAGUGUCCUGACGUGUAAUACCGAAAUAUGACGUGACUUGAUGACAGCCCCCUUAAUUUUAGCAGUGUUACAAUGCCGAACACCGGAAAUGGACGAAGAAAUGCAUUACUGAGGUGCCUUUAAAGUGUAUAUCAAGGGAAAAAAAUUAUUUUCAAAAUCACUUGUAUAGGUGAACAGUGCAGCAGUAUGGUUGCAGUAUUUUUGUAUGUGGUCUUCUCUUUUCAGAGAUAUAAACAUUUGAAAUAUCAAUAUGCAAAAGAGAUUGCGUUGCUGUUAUCAAAAGCAACGGUUUUGUUGKUUUUUUUUGUUUUUGUUUUUGUUUUUUUUCUUUUUCUUUUCCUUCUUUUUUUGUUUGUUUUUUUCUUUUUUCUUUUUCAUUUUGUGGCCUGGAAAUCCAUAAUUUCAAGAGAAAAAGUGACACUUCAGUUUUGCAAUUUUUCUCGAUUCUGAUUGGCUGACAUGCUUUCUCGGAUCAGCUGGAUUGGAUGUGUUUCUUAAAAUAUUGCGUCUUGAAAGGACAUGAACCAAACGCACGUUAAACGGAACAACCAUGGCUCUUAUCUUCUUCCUAACCGUUGAUCAAAGAAGAUUGAAGAACCUAUAGUUGUCAUAACUCCCGGAAUUGAUCAGAAUGGAACCACUUCUACCUCUCAAAAUAGUUAAGUCCCACAAAAAGGUUUAGAAUUUUAGUUCUACCAAGUAGACUGUUUCACGUAGUAGAUAAAUUAUUAGGUGUGAACGAAAAAAAGAUAUAUAUUUUCUUCAUAUCCACA
Molecule: long non-coding RNA, 1695 nt
Organism: Actinia tenebrosa (Australian red waratah sea anemone)
Lineage: Eukaryota; Metazoa; Cnidaria; Anthozoa; Actiniaria; Actiniidae
Source: RefSeq, a predicted model, not a curated record